UUAUACUGAAAUCUUGGCAACUGUCAGUUUCAUGUAUGUCUCUUGCUUUUCUGAAUAUCUUAGUAUGGCAGUUAUGAGCGUCCAUUGUUUCUAUCAGCAGUUUCACAAUAUUAGGAUCCAGUUGACCUGUUUUGCCUGUGCGCUUGACAAUUGAAAGUCUAUUCUGAACCUCAUUAGCCGUAUCAACAAUGUAGAGCUGACUGAACUGUGGACGUCGUCCUGGUUGAGGAACCAAAGAGCCGAUCCUGUGGGCAUUUUGACCAUGGAUUCUUAGAGUAAAAGGCCCCGUCUUGUGCAUUACAGAGUGAUCAAUCUGGGCUCCCAUAGAGGUGAAUGCGAGGAUAGAGUUAUAAGUUCGAAUAUCAUGUUGGAAAUGGGUGGAGGUGAAGAGCAGUGAUUUCAACGCAGGAGGAGCUUCUGUCUCUGGUUUGAGUUUCACUCUACCUUGUUGACAGCAUAUUGAGAAUAGCGGUGUCCUGUUUGGACCUCUUGUCCCUUUCUUUUCUUUUUCCCAAACCAGAGCAUGACAGAAGGGGCAUUCGAGGAUUCCAUUAGAUGCGGGUUCCUGAGACUGUGACCUCUUUCCCUUUGAGCGGAGACUGGGUCCUACGUUAACAGACGUUGGUUGAAAUCAGAUUAUUGCUCGCCGCAUUUCCCUUGCUCUUUUCUGGGCAGCUGCAGGUGUUGUAGAUGUUAGCAGUAGUUUUUUUAAGUGUGAGUUUAUGGGUGGAGCUGACCUUUACGGUUUGGAAGCUCGCUGGAGGAACCAGUGAUUAUCGAAGCUGUGGCUGAUCCGAGCGGUGUGUUUUCUUUGUGACGUUUGUUCCACUCAGGUGAUGUUCCCUGGGAUGAUUUCCUUUUUCGCAUCUUAAACUACUUUGAAUUCGUUGUGAAAAUAUAGAAGCUACUUUGUAUUCCAGAAGUUUAGUAGGAGCUUUAAUUUAGUUUUC
This is a long non-coding RNA of Brassica oleracea var. oleracea, 950 nucleotides long. RefSeq lists it as uncharacterized. Lineage: Eukaryota; Viridiplantae; Streptophyta; Magnoliopsida; Brassicales; Brassicaceae. The record is from RefSeq and is a predicted model, not a curated record. The transcript has 2 exons.